GACGAACGCUGGCGGCGCGCCUAACACAUGCAAGUCGAACGAGCGAGAGAGAGCUUGCUUUCUCGAGCGAGUGGCGAACGGGUGAGUAACGCGUGAGGAACCUGCCUCAAAGAGGGGGACAACAGUUGGAAACGACUGCUAAUACCGCAUAAGCCCACGGCUCGGCAUCGAGCAGGGGGAAAAGGAGCAAUCCGCUUUGAGAUGGCCUCGCGUCCGAUUAGCUAGUUGGUGAGGUAACGGCCCACCAAGGCGACGAUCGGUAGCCGGACUGAGAGGUUGAACGGCCACAGUGGGACUGAGACACGGCCCAGACUCCUACGGGAGGCAGCAGUGGGGAAUAUUGCACAAUGGGGGAAACCCUGAUGCAGCGACGCCGCGUGGAGGAAGAAGGUCUUCGGAUUGUAAACUCCUGUUGUUGGGGAAGAUAAUGACGGUACCCAACAAGGAAGUGACGGCUAACUACGUG
This 466-nucleotide ribosomal RNA is filed under the name uncultured bacterium. Its description in RNAcentral is "partial 16S ribosomal RNA". It matches the Rfam family "Bacterial small subunit ribosomal RNA", at positions 28 to 507 of the family's 1533-position model. The record is from RNAcentral.